Molecule: ribosomal RNA, 496 nt
Filed under: uncultured bacterium
Lineage: Bacteria
Description: partial 16S ribosomal RNA
Rfam family: Bacterial small subunit ribosomal RNA
Source: RNAcentral
AUGAACGCUGGCGGCGUGCCUAAUACCUGCCCGUCGAGCGCACGGACGAGAAGCUUGCUUCUCUGAUGUUAGCGGCGGGCGGGUGAGUAACACGUGGAUAACCUACCUAUAAGACUGGGAUAACUUCGGGAAACCGGAGCUAAUACCGGAUGAUAUUUUGAACCGCAUGGUUCAAAAGUGAAAGACGGUCUUGCUGUCACUUAUAGAUGGAUCCGCGCUGCAUUAGCUAGUUGGUAAGGUAACGGCUUACCAAGGCAACGAUGCAUAGCCGACCUGAGAGGGUGAUCGGCCACACUGGAACUGAGACACGGUCCAGACUCCUACGGGAGGCAGCAGUAGGGAAUCUUCCGCAAUGGGCGAAAGCCUGACGGAGCAACGCCGCGUGAGUGAUGAAGGUCUUCGGAUCGUAAAACUCUGUUAUUAGGGAAGAACAUAUGUGUAAGUAACUGUGCACAUCUUGACGGUACCUAAUCAGAAAGCCACGGCUAACUACGUG